This 535-nucleotide ribosomal RNA is filed under the name Algoriphagus sp. Its description in RNAcentral is "bacterial SSU rRNA". It matches the Rfam family "Bacterial small subunit ribosomal RNA", at positions 121 to 653 of the family's 1533-position model. The record is from RNAcentral. Lineage: Bacteria; Pseudomonadati; Bacteroidota; Cytophagia; Cytophagales; Cyclobacteriaceae.
GCAACCUACCUCAUACAGGGGGAUAGCCCGGAAAAAUCUGGAUUAAUACCCCAUGGUACUGUGAAGAGGCAUUUCUUUACAGUUAAAGAUUCAUCGGUAUGAGAUGGGCAUGCGUCUGAUUAGCUAGUUGGCGGUGUAACGGACCACCAAGGCGACGAUCAGUAGGGGUUCUGAGAGGAAGGUCCCCCACACUGGCACUGAGAUACGGGCCAGACUCCUACGGGAGGCAGCAGUAGGGAAUAUUGGGCAAUGGACGAGAGUCUGACCCAGCCAUGCCGCGUGCAGGAAGACGGCGUUCUGCGUUGUAAACUGCUUUUAUCUGGGAAGAAAAGGCCCAUGCGUGGGACAUUGCCGGUUUUUUUUUUAAUAAGCACCGGCUAACUCCGUGCCAGCAGCCGUUUGUAAUACGGAGGGUGCAAGCGUUGUCCGGAUUUAUUGGGUUUAAAGGGUGCGUAGGCGGCUAUUUAAGUCAGCGGUGAAAGACAUCGGCUCAACCGAUGCAGUGCCAUUGAUACUGGAUAGCUUGAGUGUUGGA